RNAcentral lists this long non-coding RNA (202 nucleotides) under Physcomitrium patens. Its description in RNAcentral is "long non-coding RNA (PPAT_LNC004785)". The record is from RNAcentral. Lineage: Eukaryota; Viridiplantae; Streptophyta; Bryopsida; Funariales; Funariaceae.
GGAAUGGAGAGAGCAGGGUUGGGAAUGAUGGGGAUCAAAUGAAGACUAGGAAUGGAGAGAGCAGGCCUGGGAAUGUAUUCGUAGUUUUUUUUACAUUUUUUUCAUAUUAAUACUUAUUUUCAGAAUAAACAUAUUGGGGAUAUAUGAAUUAUAGCUCAUUGGAUUAGUAUAAUAUGGGCGCCAUUGAUUUUUUUAACAUACU